UACGAAGGGUGCAAGCGUUACUCGGAAUUACUGGGCGUAAAGCGUGCGCAGGCGGUUGUGCAAGACAGAUGUGAAAUCCCCGGGCUUAACCUGGGAACUGCAUUUGUGACUGCACGGCUGGAGUGCGGCAGAGGGGGAUGGAAUUCCGCGUGUAGCAGUGAAAUGCGUAGAUAUGCGGAGGAACACCGAUGGCGAAGGCAAUCCCCUGGGCCUGCACUGACGCUCAUGCGCGAAAGCGUGGGGAGCAAACAGG
Molecule: ribosomal RNA, 253 nt
Filed under: uncultured bacterium
Lineage: Bacteria
Description: partial 16S ribosomal RNA
Rfam family: Bacterial small subunit ribosomal RNA
Source: RNAcentral